CAGGUCCCGUAAGAUCACUGAAGUUAAGCAACGUCGAGCUUGGUCAGUACCUAGAUAGGUGACCGCUUGGGAAUACCAGGUGAGGUA
Acanthosepion pharaonis is the source of this 87-nucleotide non-coding RNA. The record is from the annotation of a GenBank genome assembly. Lineage: Eukaryota; Metazoa; Mollusca; Cephalopoda; Sepiida; Sepiidae.